This 410-nucleotide ribosomal RNA is filed under the name Thalassiosira minuscula. RNAcentral describes it as "partial Bacterial large subunit ribosomal RNA". It matches the Rfam family "Bacterial large subunit ribosomal RNA", at positions 294 to 703 of the family's 2925-position model. The record is from RNAcentral. Lineage: Eukaryota; Bacillariophyta; Thalassiosirophyceae; Thalassiosirales; Thalassiosiraceae.
GGGGUUAUAGGACUGCAUAAUGGUUUUAUUUAAAUGAUUGGAAUGGUUUGGGAAAGCCAUCCAUAGAGGGUGAGAGACCCGUACGAUUGAGUAAAUAAGACUUGGCAGUAUCCUGAGUAGGGCGGGACCGGAGAAAUCCCGUCUGAAUUUGCCGGCACCAUCCGGUAAGGCUAAAUACUCCUGAGAGACCGAUAGUGGACAAGUACCGUGAGGGAAAGGUGAAAAGUACCCUGAAUAAGGGGGUGAAAAGAACCUGAAACCAUGCGCUUACAAGCGGUCGGAGGUUCCGUAGUGGACUGACGGCGUGCCUUUUGCAUAAUGAGCCUACGAGUUACUCUUCACUGGCGAGGUUAAGGCAUUAGAGUGCUGUAGCCGGAGCGAAAGCGAGUCUGAAUAGGGCGCAUAGUCAG